GACGAACGCUGGCGGUGUGCUUAACACAUGCAAGUCGAACGGUAAGGCCCUUUCGGGGGUACACGAGUGGCGAACGGGUGAGUAACACGUGAGUAACCUGCCCUCAUCUCUGGGAUAACAGUCGGAAACGGUUGCUAAUACUGGAUAUGAGCUUGCAAGGCAUCUUGUGGGUUGGAAAGAUUUUUUUUGGUUGGGGAUGGACUCGCGGCCUAUCAGCUUGUUGGUGAGGUAGUGGCUCACCAAGGCUUCGACGGGUAGCCGGCCUGAGAGGGCGACCGGCCACAUUGGGACUGAGAGACGGCCCAAACUCCUACGGGGGGCAGCAGUGGGGAAUAUUGCACAAUGGACGGAAGUCUGAUGCAGCAACGCCGCGUGCGGGAUGACGGCCUUCGGGUUGUAAACCGCUUUCAAUUGUGACGAAGCUUUUUUGUGACGGUAGCAGUAGAAGAAGCACCGGCUAACUACGUG
Molecule: ribosomal RNA, 468 nt
Filed under: uncultured bacterium
Lineage: Bacteria
Description: partial 16S ribosomal RNA
Rfam family: Bacterial small subunit ribosomal RNA
Source: RNAcentral